RNAcentral lists this ribosomal RNA (774 nucleotides) under uncultured Neocallimastigales. RNAcentral's name for it is "partial large subunit ribosomal RNA". It matches the Rfam family "Eukaryotic large subunit ribosomal RNA", at positions 26 to 627 of the family's 3401-position model. The record is from RNAcentral. Lineage: Eukaryota; Fungi; Neocallimastigomycota; Neocallimastigomycetes; Neocallimastigales.
CGUCUAUAUACGUAUAGCAUAUCAAUAAGCGGAGGAAAAGAAACUAACUAGGAUUCCCUCAGUAACGGCGAGUGAAGCGGGAAGAGCUCAAAUUUGAAAUCUUCAAGGUUUUACCUUGACGAAUUGUAGUUUAAAGAAGUGUUUUCUGUUGGAAUUUUGGUAAAAGUUCUUUGGAAAAAGACAUCAAAGAGGGUGAGAAUCCCGUAUUUGACCAUUAUUUCCAGCUUUGUGAUACACUUUCAAAGAGUCGGAUUGUUUGGGAAUGCAGUCCAAAAUGGGUGGUAAAUUUCAUCUAAAGCUAAAUACUGGCGAGAGACCGAUAGCGAACAAGUACCGUGAGGGAAAGAUGAAAAGAACUUUGAAAAGAGAGUUAAACAGUACGUGAAAUUGUCAAAAGGGAAGCGUUUGACACCAGUGUUGUUUUCUCGAAAAUCAAUUAAAAAUGGCUAGGAUUUUGUGUUGUAUUGACUUUAUCAGCUUUCUGCACUUUUUUCCUGUCUUUUUUAAUGCACUUUUCGUUUAACAAGUCAACAUCAAUUUCUUUUGUUGUAAAAGAGUCAUUGGAAGGUGGCUUUCUUUUCGGAGAAAGUGUUUAUAGCCUUUGCCUCUGCAAUCGGAGAGAUUGAGGUCUGCAGCGUAGAUCCUUCGGGGUUAGAUGCAUUUGUGCUAAGUUAUAGCCUUUCAUAGACAACUUGUUGACUAUGAUCAGUCAUGUAGCUUACUCGCUUAUGUUAUUUUACCUACGCUUAGGAUGUUGACGAUCAGCUGAGCGCG